GACAGAGGUGCCGAGCGUUAGGCGGAAUUACUGGGCGUAAAGCGUGCGUAGACGGUUAUGUAAGUCGGGUGUGAAAGCCCCGGGCUCAACCUGGGAAUUGCAUUCGAGACUGCAUAGCUAGGGUGCGGAAGAGGGAAGCGGAAUUUCCGGUGUAGCGGUGAAAUGCGUAGAUAUCGGAAGGAACAUCAGUGGCGAAAGCGGCUUCCUGGUCCAGCACCGACGUUCAGGCACGAAAGCGUGGGGAGCAAACAGG
This 253-nucleotide ribosomal RNA is filed under the name uncultured bacterium. RNAcentral's name for it is "partial 16S ribosomal RNA". It matches the Rfam family "Bacterial small subunit ribosomal RNA", at positions 524 to 776 of the family's 1533-position model. The record is from RNAcentral.